AGAGUUUGAUCAUGGCUCAGGAUGAACGCUAGCGGGAGGCUUAACACAUGCAAGUCGAGGGGCAGCAUUCACUUCGGUGAGAUGGCGACCGGCGCACGGGUGCGUAACGCGUAUGCAACCUACUUUAUACAAAGGGAUAGCUCAUGGAAACGUGGAUUAAUACCUUAUGGUACUAUAAAACUGCCUAGUUUAAUAGUUAAAACUUCGGUGGUAUAAGAUGGGCAUGCGUAUGAUUAGCUAGUUGGUGGGGUAACGGCCCACCAAGGCGACGAUCAUUAGGGGUUCUGAGAGGAUUAUCCCCCACACUGGUACUGAGACACGGACCAGACUCCUACGGGAGGCAGCAGUGAGGAAUAUUGGACAAUGGGCGCAAGCCUGAUCCAGCCAUGCCGCGUGAAGGAAGAAUGCCCUAUGGGUUGUAAACUUCUUUUAUUUGGGAAGAAACCUUUCUACGUGUAGAAAGCUGACGGUACCAAACGAAUAAGGACCGGCUAACUCCGUGCCAGCAGCCGCGGUAAUACGGAGGGUCCAAGCGUUAUCCGGAAUCAUUGGGUUUAAAGGGUUCGCAGGCGGUCAAUUAAGUCAGUGGUGAAAUCUCGGGGCUCAACUCCGAAACUGCCAUUGAUACUGAUUGACUUGAAUUAAGUUGGAGUAGGCGGAAUGUGUAGUGUAGCGGUGAAAUGCUUAGAUAUUACACAGAACACCGAUAGCGAAGGCAGCUUACUAAGCCAUUAUUGACGCUGAGGCACGAAAGCGUGGGUAGCGAACAGGAUUAGAUACCCUGGUAGUCCACGCCGUAAACGAUGUUCACUCGCUGUCUGCGAUACACAGUAGGCGGCUGAGCGAAAGCAUUAAGUGAACCACCU
This 866-nucleotide ribosomal RNA is filed under the name uncultured bacterium. RNAcentral describes it as "bacterial SSU rRNA". It matches the Rfam family "Bacterial small subunit ribosomal RNA", at positions 9 to 873 of the family's 1533-position model. The record is from RNAcentral.